This is a long non-coding RNA of Cucurbita moschata (crookneck pumpkin), 228 nucleotides long. RefSeq lists it as uncharacterized. The record is from RefSeq and is a predicted model, not a curated record. NCBI's taxonomy places the organism in Eukaryota, Viridiplantae, Streptophyta, Magnoliopsida, Cucurbitales, Cucurbitaceae. The transcript is spliced from 2 exons.
CAACCGAGGUGGGACCUCACAUAUUUCAUCCAAAUCCCUUUCAUAUUUAGGAAUCAAGAAUCUGAUUGAAGAGUAAUUCAAAGGUUGUGAGAGUCUACGAGGCAAACUAUGAGCAAAGCCAUUUACUCCUCUUGAUCUCUUUCUGGAUACAGAGUCAUGGAACUAUUCAAAAAGAGGCCAUUCCUACUGUGAUUACUUGCAAAGGUAUGACAUAGGCUUGUCCUCUUA